UCCAGGUGUAUGACAACGAUGGAUUCUACCGUAAGAAUUAUUCCUACAAGUUCUAAAGCUGAUGGAGAGAACAAUAGAAACGUAACGACUAUGACAACCAAUGUAUCGAUUUUGAAUUUAUAGUGUUCGCACAGCUGUAAAGGGGCUACUGUAGAAAUAUUUUGGGGUACAUUUUAUACAUACAGAUAGCGGGUCAUCUUAUGCGACUAUUAUUGGUGUAUGGUUAAAAUGUAUUUGUGACAUAUCUUGGGAUUUAUCUCAUUAAAUAUUAAUUAAAUGUGGGCCAUUUUUAUACAUGAUGGAUACCCAUCUAUAUUUUUGUAUUGUAUGUCUUGUAUAGUAAUUGGGCAGAUUUGAAUACGGUAAUGUCUUACUUUGAUUACAUAAAUACUAUUACAGAACUUUGAUUGCAUUAUUACUAUAACUUUUCUUUGAUUUUAUUAUAGUCUCUUUACAUUAACUUGUACUGAUGAUAAAGGAUGUGGCUAUGAAUAGUUUUAGUCCAGUAUCAAUACAAAUCUGAAAGGUGAUCAGCCGGGUUCGGGAGCCUUUUCGAGAUAUCAAGUGUCAAAGGUCAAAAUUGACCAAUUAUUACAAAUUUUUGUAUCAACUCUGAAGUUUUCUCACUUAAUAAAUUCAAUAUGAUUUGAUUAGCCAAUAUUGAGGUCAAAUGUCAAACUUGACCAAUUCUAACAAUUUACUAAAAUAAACAAUAUGGAAAUUUAAAACUCAGUGUUUUAUCACAUUAUUAUGCUUUUAGAUAUUUAUUUUAGGGAUCUAUUCACCAGUCUACUGUCUCAAAGUUUUAUCUGUAUCUCAAAGUUUUAUAUUUUUAUAUAUGAUAUAAUUUGUGUACUUUGUUAUUGUAUUUUAUAGUUGAGGGUGCCAAUGAUCAGUUGUGCUGGACGAGCCACCCUCUGGAGAUAUAGUUUAAUUUUGUUUUAAAUAAUAAUAAUAAAAAUAAAACCAGCCUUUUUAAGAAACUGACCUCAAAAAUGCAAAAAUUAUUAUAUUUGUUAUAAAGUAUCUUUAAAGUUGACUAUAUUUAUCAAAAUAUUAAAGCUUUCGUAUGCUCCUGUAUUUUUCAUGUUCCCAUGUUUCAUUGCAAAAAUGUUGACCAUGAUUUUUUCCACCUUAUAAAAAAAUAUUCUAAAGAAAUAUAAACAGGUUGUACGUAACGAGAGAAGACUUUUGGAGAAUCGAUCAAACUGUGUGCAGUACUAUGCUAGGAGAAUUGUCUGUAUAAAGAUGAUGUCCUUGUAGAAUAUCACGUAAAGGUAGUGGCGUAACAAAAAUCAUAAAUGCUCCUAAGGUUUUUUCGGGCCUUAUACUACUCGUUUCUGAAGAAACAAAUAAGUAAAAAAGUAUGAGUUCCCAUUAAAGUUUCUGAGAGUUUUUUUUUUUUCGCAAAGCUUGGUAACAACACUU
This is a long non-coding RNA of Anneissia japonica, 1428 nucleotides long. RefSeq lists it as uncharacterized. Lineage: Eukaryota; Metazoa; Echinodermata; Crinoidea; Comatulida; Comatulidae. The record is from RefSeq and is a predicted model, not a curated record. The transcript has 2 exons.